RNAcentral lists this ribosomal RNA (253 nucleotides) under uncultured bacterium. Its description in RNAcentral is "partial 16S ribosomal RNA". It matches the Rfam family "Bacterial small subunit ribosomal RNA", at positions 524 to 776 of the family's 1533-position model. The record is from RNAcentral.
UACGUAGGGCGCGAGCGUUGUCCGGAAUCAUUGGGCGUAAAGAGCUCGUAGGCGGCCUGUCGCGUCUGCUGUGAAAUCCCGGGGCUCAACCCCGGGCCUGCAGUGGAUACGGGCUGGCUAGAGGCAGGCAGGGGAGAACGGAAUUCCUGGUGUAGCGGUGAAAUGCGCAGAUAUCAGGAGGAACACCGGUGGCGAAGGCGGUUCUCUGGGCCUGUACUGACGCUGAGGAGCGAAAGCGUGGGGAGCGAACAGG